RNAcentral lists this non-coding RNA (352 nucleotides) under Rickettsia felis Marseille-URRWFXCal2. RNAcentral's name for it is "Rickettsia felis URRWXCal2 Bacterial RNase P class A". It matches the Rfam family "Bacterial RNase P class A", at positions 130 to 367 of the family's 367-position model. Rfam says of the family: Ribonuclease P (RNase P) is a ubiquitous endoribonuclease, found in archaea, bacteria and eukarya as well as chloroplasts and mitochondria. Its best characterised activity is the generation of mature 5'-ends of tRNAs by cleaving the 5'-leader elements of precursor-tRNAs. The record is from Rfam by way of RNAcentral. Lineage: Bacteria; Pseudomonadati; Pseudomonadota; Alphaproteobacteria; Rickettsiales; Rickettsiaceae.
CAAAAAGAGCAAGGAGUUCACAAGACGAGGAACGGAGCGUAUACUUAAUACGUGAGUACCGUAGUACUUGUAGAACGACGUAGCCAAUUUUUGAAGUUCAUCGAGUAUAUUCGGUAAGGGUGAAAAGGUACGGUAAGAGCGUACCGGUAAGUUGGUAACAAAUUACGCAUGGUAAACCCCACCAAGAGCAAGAUCAAAUAGGCGUUACAGAACUUAUCAAGUUCCCGGGUUAUCUCUAGCCGGCUUGUAAUGCGGGUAGAUCGCUUGAGGUAAACGGUAACGUUUAUCCUAGAUAAAUAACUGCAAUGAAUUUAUAUUCAUACAGAAUCCGGCUUAUAGACCUUAUUGUUAU